RNAcentral lists this long non-coding RNA (1057 nucleotides) under Struthio camelus australis. Its description in RNAcentral is "lncRNA (ENSSCUG00000010352.1)". The record is from RNAcentral. Lineage: Eukaryota; Metazoa; Chordata; Aves; Struthioniformes; Struthionidae.
AAGGCUGAUUUCCUCAGCUGUUGUAUAAACCCAUCAGCUGAGAGUUUUAAAUAAUAAUAAAAAAAUCCUAUCAAAUACCAUUUGAUUAACUGCCCCCCGACCCCAUAAAUACACCCCCACCCGCCUCGGCGCUACUGAAAAUGAUUGGUAGUUUGUUACCUGUGCUGGUCUCUGACUUGUGCAAAGCGUGCUGCUUCGUGCGGGCAGAAAUCCCUCCUCGCCGAGGGAAGAGGGGACUCUGAAUUCCCAGCCAGCGGCUUCAGGAAGUCCGCCGAGGCUUAGUUUUGCUCCUUUUACUCUUCCCCGCCUGUCUUUUCUGUUUUCCCGUGGAAGGAGAACAGUUAGCUAUUUGUGUCUUCCAGCCUUUACGUACGGAGAACGGCCUCAGGCGCUCCACACGCGUGCUUACAGCAGAUGACAAUACACUACUUUUUCUUCUUCACUUAAACUUACUGGCUGUAUUCCUAUGAAGGGUAUAACAGCAGGGAACGCUGCAAAAGUUUCAGUUUGAAGUUGUUUAAAAUAGUCUAUUCUAAACAGUCUAUUCUGAAUAGUCUAUUCUGUUCUAAAGGUAUUAGACAGCUGUUUUAUCUGAUCUCUGAAAAUACUGUGUUUCCAUUUUUGUGGACCUUGGUAUGAGCCUUGCAUUUCACCGAAACAACAGAAAUGUGUCAUUGUUUCAGUUGUAAAAAGUGCUAAUACAGAUUUUAAUACUUAAUGUUGAAGCUGGUUUUAGAGUGGCAGAUGAAAUUCAGGUAUGAGUUAUGCUAAUACCGAUCAAAUGAAUUCAAUGAAUGUGUGAAAGUAGAAAGCUGUUUGCAUAUGUAUUUAGAACAUCAUGUUUGGGUCCUCUUUGAAGUUAUUGAAGUUUAGCGGGGAGGUGGGGAGAGGGGAAGGAAACAGCAAAUGAUAUAUUGAGACCCUUUAGGAUUUUCAGUUCUCUCAAAAUCUGUGCAAGACAUUCAGAAUCCUUUUACAAGCAGAAAACCAUUGAUUCUUAAAUGAAACUUCUGGUCAGGAAUUGAGCAUUGGUCUUAACUAAGAAACAGUUCAGUGU